UACGUAGGGUGCAAGCGUUAUCCGGAAUGAUUGGGCGUAAAGCGUCUGUAGGUGGCUUUUUAAGUCCGCCGUCAAAUCCCAGGGCUCAACUCUGGACAGGCGGUGGAAACUACCUAGCUGGAGUACGGUAGGGGCAGAGGGAAUUUCCGGUGGAGCGGUGAAAUGCGUAGAGAUCGGGAAGAACACCAGCGGCGAAAGCGCUCUGCUGGGCCGACACUGACACUGAGAGACGAAAGCUAGGGGAGCGAAUGGG
RNAcentral lists this ribosomal RNA (253 nucleotides) under uncultured bacterium. RNAcentral describes it as "partial 16S ribosomal RNA". It matches the Rfam family "Bacterial small subunit ribosomal RNA", at positions 524 to 776 of the family's 1533-position model. The record is from RNAcentral.